AAGCGUGCGCAGGCGGUUAUGUAAGACAGAUGUGAAAUCCCCGGGCUCAACCUGGGAACUGCAUUUGUGACUGCAUGGCUAGAGUACGGUAGAGGGGAGUGGAAUUCCGCGUGUAGCAGUGAAAUGCGUAGAUAUGCGGAGGAACACCGAUGGCGAAGGCAAUCCCCCUGGACCUGUACUGACGCUCAUGCACGAAAGCGUGGGGAGCAAACAGGAUUAGAUACCCUUGU
Molecule: ribosomal RNA, 230 nt
Filed under: uncultured bacterium
Lineage: Bacteria
Description: partial 16S ribosomal RNA
Rfam family: Bacterial small subunit ribosomal RNA
Source: RNAcentral